This 413-nucleotide unclassified non-coding RNA is filed under the name Hevea brasiliensis (rubber tree). The record is from RNAcentral. Lineage: Eukaryota; Viridiplantae; Streptophyta; Magnoliopsida; Malpighiales; Euphorbiaceae.
GGAGUAGUUGCUAUGGUUUUGGGUAUUGAUGAUGAAUUUGGACCUCGUCUCUAUAAAUGUGACCCAGCUGGCCACUACUUUGGCCACAAGGCUACAAGUGCGGGGUUAAAAGAGCAAGAAGCAAUUAAUUUCUUGGAGAAGAAAAUGAAGAAUGAUCCUCAAUUUACCUACGAGGAAACAGUGCAGACUGCAAUCUCUGCCCUGCAAUCAGUUCUACAGGAGGAUUUUAAGGCCACUGAGAUUGAGGUUGGAGUGGUGAGGAAGGAGAACCCCGACUUCAGAAUGUUGUCCACUGAGGAGAUUGAUGAGCACUUGACUGCUAUAAGCGAGCGAGACUAAAUGAUGAACUGUUGAUUGGAUCCAGUAUUCUUGAAACUUUUAGUCAAUGUUUAGACGUUUGUUUCUGUCCAGAA